This 494-nucleotide ribosomal RNA is filed under the name uncultured bacterium. RNAcentral describes it as "partial 16S ribosomal RNA". The stretch from base 82 to 494 matches the Rfam family "Bacterial small subunit ribosomal RNA", at positions 1 to 453 of the family's 1533-position model. The record is from RNAcentral.
GUAAAACGACGGCCAGUGAAUUGUAAUACGACUCACUAUAGGGCGAAUUGGGCCCUCUAGAUGCAUGCUCGAGCGGCCGCCAGUGUGAUGGAUAUCUGCAGAAUUCGCCCUUCAGGCCUAACACAUGCAAGUCGAACGCCCUCCUCGGAGGGAGUGGCAGACGGGUGAGUAACACGUGGGAACGUGCCCGAAGGUACGGAACAACUCCGGGAAACUGGAGCUAAUACCGUAUGUGUCCGCAAGGAGAAAGAUUUAUCGCCUUCGGAUCGGCCCGCGUCAGAUUAGCUAGUUGGUGGGGUAAAAGCCUACCAAGGCGACGAUCUGUAGCUGUUCUUAGAGGAAGACCAGCCACACUGGGACUGAGACACGGCCCAGACUCCUACGGGAGGCAGCAGUGGGGAAUCUUGGACAAUGGGCGCAAGCCUGAUCCAGCCAUGCCGCGUGGAUGACGAAGGCCUUAGGGUUGUAAAAUCCUUUCAGCGGGGACGAUAAUG